UUUCCGUAGGUGAACCUGCGGAAGGAUCAUUCAUAAUAAGUGUUUUAUGGCACUUUUUUAUAUCCAUAUCCACCUUGUGUGCAAUGUCAGGGUUGAUUUUUCUCUCGAGAGGAUCAACCCCAAACAUCAACUAUAUCUCAACUCUUUGUCUGAAAAAUAUUAUGAAUAAAACAAUUCAAAAUACAACUUUCAACAACGGAUCUCUUGGCUCUC
Molecule: unclassified non-coding RNA, 213 nt
Filed under: plant metagenome
Description: partial contains small subunit ribosomal RNA, internal transcribed spacer 1, and 5.8S ribosomal RNA
Source: RNAcentral